RNAcentral lists this ribosomal RNA (305 nucleotides) under uncultured bacterium. RNAcentral's name for it is "bacterial SSU rRNA". It matches the Rfam family "Bacterial small subunit ribosomal RNA", at positions 338 to 660 of the family's 1533-position model. The record is from RNAcentral.
CCUACGGGAGGCAGCAGUGGGGGAUAUUGCACAAUGGGGGGAACCCUGAUGCAGCGACGCCGCGUGGGUGAAGAAGCGCCUCGGCGCGUAAAGCCCUGUCAGCAGGGAAGAAAAUGACGGUACCUGAAGAAGAAGCCCCGGCUAACUACGUGCCAGCAGCCGCGGUAAUACGUAUGGUGCAAGCGUUAUCCGGAUUUACUGGGUGUAAAGGGAGCGCAGGCGGCGCGUUAAGCCUGGUGUGAAAGCCCGCGGCCCAACCGCGGGACUGCAUUGGGAACUGGCGCGCUGGAGUGCCGGAGGGGUAG